AAUGCUUCUUGCCUGACCUGCAGGUACAGCUCUGGCCUUUGGAUCUGGGAAUGAUGAUUAUGAUGGUACUGGCCCAGCAGGUCGCGAAAGCCAUGGACCGGCUGCUGGAACCGCUCAUACACUGUCUCCAGAGGCAGGCAAACAGCUCGGAGUGGGCUCUCCACAGUCACGUGUGUCGCUGCCUCAGUGUCUGCCGAGGCCAGCAAGAAGGGGACAGUGUAGACCUGCUCAGACAGCACCCGCUCGCUCUCGCUCCUGCAAGUGGAAAAUGCAGCACUGGGAUGUGGCCAACACAGAGGAACUCUGUGCUCCUAAGGCUGACCCGAGGGUAGAGACUAGGGCUUUUAACUGAGCCACUUUCUGCUUCUCAAGUGGACCCAGAGGAUGGGGGUUUGGACCUGUCAGUGCAAGCCCACCUCCGCUCUCCCCUCCCGCCACUCACCAGUUCCGGGCCAAGCUGUUCCAGAUCAGCCGAUGCUCCUUCACAAGCAGUUUCUGGAUCACACCCUGCAGCCCUUCAUGGUAGUGGCUGGUCAGCACAGCCUUGGCUGGCAGCACUAUGCCUAAGGACCAAGAGAUGCAUCAUGGGUAAAGGAGGAGAGCACAGUGUUUGUCCCUGGUGUGUGGCCACAGGAUCUCCUUACCUUCCAGGGCAACGUAAGGCAGGCAUCUCCCAUCAGCUGCAGA
Long non-coding RNA from Pogoniulus pusillus (Red-fronted tinkerbird), 687 nucleotides. RefSeq lists it as uncharacterized. The record is from RefSeq and is a predicted model, not a curated record. Lineage: Eukaryota; Metazoa; Chordata; Aves; Piciformes; Lybiidae. The transcript is spliced from 2 exons.